GAUGAAGAACGCAGCGAAAUGCGAUAAGUAAUGUGAAUUGCAGAUUUUCAGUGAAUCAUCGAAUCUUUGAACGCACCUUGCGCUCCCUGGUAUUCCGGGGAGCAUGCCUGUUUGAGUGUCAUUAAAUUCUCAACCCCGAUCGGAUUUGUUUUCGCAUUCGGAGGCUUGGAUAGUGGAGCGUGCUGGCCCCCUCUCAUGGGUCGGCUCCUCUCAAAUGCAUUCGCGGAAUCGACUUUGGUCCAUUUCGGUCAUCAGUGUGAUAAACGUUGCGCUGUUGGCUAGGAUCGAGGUGCCGCAUACAAUGGUCUUCGGACAAUUUUAUAAACCAUUUGACCUCAUAUCAGGUAGGACUACCCGCUGAACUUAAGCAUAUCAAUAAGCGGAGGA
This 387-nucleotide unclassified non-coding RNA is filed under the name soil metagenome. Its description in RNAcentral is "partial contains 5.8S ribosomal RNA, internal transcribed spacer 2, and large subunit ribosomal RNA". The stretch from base 1 to 121 matches the Rfam family "5.8S ribosomal RNA", at positions 35 to 154 of the family's 154-position model. The record is from RNAcentral.